This 476-nucleotide ribosomal RNA is filed under the name uncultured bacterium. Its description in RNAcentral is "partial 16S ribosomal RNA". It matches the Rfam family "Bacterial small subunit ribosomal RNA", at positions 28 to 523 of the family's 1533-position model. The record is from RNAcentral.
GACGAACGCUGGCGGCGUGCUUAACACAUGCAAGUCGAACGGUAAGGCCUUCGGGUACACGAGUGGCGAACGGGUGAGUAACACGUGGGUGAUCUGCCCUGCACUUUGGGAUAAGCCUGGGAAACUGGGUCUAAUACCGGAUAGGACCAUGGACUUCACGGUUUGUGGUGGAAAGCUUUUGCGGUGUGGGAGGGGCCAGCGGCCUAUCAGCUUGUUGGUGGGGUAAUGGCCUACCAAGGCGACGACGGGUAGCCGGCCUGAGAGGGUGUCCGGCCACACUGGGACUGAGAUACGGCCCAGACUCCUACGGGAGGCAGCAGUGGGGAAUAUUGCACAAUGGGCGCAAGCCUGAUGCAGCGACGCCGCGUGGGGGAUGACGGCCUUCGGGUUGUAAACCUCUUUCAGUAGGGACGAAGCGCAAGUGACGGUACCUACAGAAGAAGCACCGGCCAACUACGUGCCAGCCGCCGCGGUAA